AGCGCCUGGCGUGGGCCCCGGCCCGCAGACCUCCGCGGCCUCCGCCGCCAGAGCCGCCGCACCCAGGACCGCCGCGACCGGUUACCAGGCCAGAAUAUAGCCUCUUAAUACAGGUGUUUGCUACAAAUUGGUAGAAUCUCACCAGGUGACAGUACAGAAUUUUAAUAUCAUACACAAUAAAACUUGACUCCCUCAGCUUUACUCCCUCAUCCUUCUUCAAUAGUAUAUUUGGUGUUUCAACUCAAAAUCCGUGUGUGAAGAUUGAAGUGUGGAUUUUUCCGACCUUUAUCUUUUCUAUGAUCAUUAUUGGUAAAAUAUCGGUUUCUGGGGUUGACUGGGCUCAGUUGGAUGAUUCUUACCCAGAGCAUCUCUCAUGGUUGCAGUCACAUACUGCUGGACCAGAAUCAUCUGACAGCUUGCACAUUCACCUCUUGCACUGAGGCUGGGAAGAUGCCAACAGCUGAGGCUCCUUAUAACAUAUCUGCCUCUCUCUGUUCUCUUUGUUUCUCUCCAGCACAGUGGUUUCAGGAAUUUGUUGGAAUUCGUACAUGGUGGUUCAGCGCUCCAAGGCCACAUUCCAAGAGAGAGCCAAGUGGAAAUUUUAUCUCUUUUUAUGACCUAGACUCAAAAUUCGUACAUCGCCACUGUUGAUUCAGUUAUUUAAAAGAGUCACUGAAGUCAGUGUAUUUCCAAGAGGUGGGGACUUAGAUUUUACACUUUCAAUGAGAACAAUGUCAACUUGCUGGCAAGCUUUAAAAUCUUCAAAACCAGAGUCUGAACUCUGGUAAUUUUGUUUUAUGAGGUAAAGUCCACCUGAGUCCAUUGAUUUGAAGAAAGAAGUGAGGUAGCACCCCAUACUUCUGACAGCUGCCUUAUUGUGGUCAUUUUCACAAAUCUACAGAUACUUUCCUCUUCUGUAAUUCCUUAAAGAGGAAAGGUGCUCAUUCUCAGACUCCUCAAAACUCUUUCUCUCUCAUCUAGGGCUACAGUAGCUCCCCAGGGACUUUUCCUCAUCAGCCCAAAGAUGUCUCCACCCUGGACUGGAGAUAGGAUUUUUAUAAUAAAGGCUGCAGAUAUUGUUUUCAUUUGUUUUUUGUAUUUUGCUCUUUCAUCAAGCUUUAACAUUAAA
This is a long non-coding RNA of Zalophus californianus (California sea lion), 1129 nucleotides long. RefSeq lists it as uncharacterized. The transcript has 3 exons. NCBI's taxonomy places the organism in Eukaryota, Metazoa, Chordata, Mammalia, Carnivora, Otariidae. The record is from RefSeq and is a predicted model, not a curated record.